RNAcentral lists this unclassified non-coding RNA (344 nucleotides) under soil metagenome. Its description in RNAcentral is "partial contains 5.8S ribosomal RNA, internal transcribed spacer 2, and large subunit ribosomal RNA". The stretch from base 5 to 121 matches the Rfam family "5.8S ribosomal RNA", at positions 38 to 154 of the family's 154-position model. The record is from RNAcentral.
GAUGGAAGAACGCAGCGAAAUGCGAUAAGUAAUGUGAAUUGCAGAAUUCAGUGAAUCAUCGAAUCUUUGAACGCACAUUGCGCCCGCCAGCACUCUGGCGGGCAUGCCUGUUCGAGCGUCAUUUCAACCCUCGAGCCCCCCCGGGGGCCUCGGUGUUGGGGGACGGCACACCAGCCGCCCCCGAAAUGCAGUGGCGACCCCGCCGCAGCCUCCCCUGCGUAGUAGCACACACCUCGCACCGGAGCGCGGAGGCGGUCACGCCGUAAAACGCCCAACUUUCUUAGAGUUGACCUCGGAUCAGGUAGGAAUACCCGCUGAACUUAAGCAUAUCAAUAAGCGGAGGA